Long non-coding RNA from Lolium rigidum, 418 nucleotides. RefSeq lists it as uncharacterized. The transcript is spliced from 4 exons. NCBI's taxonomy places the organism in Eukaryota, Viridiplantae, Streptophyta, Magnoliopsida, Poales, Poaceae. The record is from RefSeq and is a predicted model, not a curated record.
GCGGAUGUGGCAGACUGUUGAUGUUGCUGGAAAGGCUGCCGCCAGCCCCCAGCUGCUCCGUAUGGACGACCAGGGCUUGGCGUCGAGCAAGGGCUCCAUGUCUGGUGCUUCCAUGAGGUGCCCAGGUUGCCACGGUUCAGGCAUGAAAGUGAUUAUCCGUUAGCUGGGUCAAGUGCUAUUAUGUGUGUUGUCUCUUAGGUCUGUUUCAAGUGCUAUUAUGUGUGUUAUCUGCUAUCUUAUUCAUGUGCUGUUGGUGGAGCUGGCUAUGAGGUAGCCAUAGCCGCCGGAUCUGUCCGGCUGACAGCGGUGGCCGUCGUCUUCGACAUGGUGGGUUUAGAUGACUGGCGAUCAUGAUGGCGUCCCAGGUGCUGAAUGUUGAGGUCCUUGGACUCGCCACAAUCUUUGGAAACUGCACUAU